AAAAGGUCUUCUUCACCACCUUCCAGCAUAUUGCUUCAGUUAGUGCAACCAUAGCUUUCCAGACUUUCUUAUCUCUUUCGUCAUCUCGAUAAACGGGCGUUGCUGACCAUACGAAAAACCCUCCAGGUCUAAGUAUCCUGUUAAGUUCCAUCAGUGGUUUUCCUCCAUCUCCAUCCCAAUGAACCCUGCAUCUUGCACAAUGAAUCACAUCAUAUGCAUUAUCCGGAAAUGCCAGCUUUUGAGUUCCAAUGACUGAGAGAGUAGCAGGAAUUCCACGUUCAAGUGCAAACUGUAUCUGAGCCUCAUGUUCAUCCUUUGGUGCAAGUGACAUGGUAAUGACAUUUUUAUCCAGCAAAUACCCACCGAAGCUAGCAACACCGCAGCCAACAUCUAAAAUGACCCUUAUAUGCUUUCCCCAGUCGAUUUCUGGAAAAGUCUUUUGAAUUGACUCGAUAUAGUUGGUCACUCCAUCCUUGAACUGCGUUCCACCACCAGGAAAAACAAGAUAAUCG
This 512-nucleotide unclassified non-coding RNA is filed under the name Hevea brasiliensis (rubber tree). The record is from RNAcentral. Lineage: Eukaryota; Viridiplantae; Streptophyta; Magnoliopsida; Malpighiales; Euphorbiaceae.